This is a long non-coding RNA of Macrosteles quadrilineatus (aster leafhopper), 1067 nucleotides long. RefSeq lists it as uncharacterized. NCBI's taxonomy places the organism in Eukaryota, Metazoa, Arthropoda, Insecta, Hemiptera, Cicadellidae. The transcript is spliced from 6 exons. The record is from RefSeq and is a predicted model, not a curated record.
AAGAACCUAAGCUGAUGACUUAUUAAUUAUGUAGCUUAAGAAACCUUUUACAGUGUCAAUGUACCUAACAGCUGUUGAUUUGUUUGUUUCUAUUAGGAUACUGUAUCAAACGUUUGCUACUCACCUGGCACCAAAGUGCUGAAGGAGAUGGACGUAGUGAAGGCUACAGUUGCGUUGAUUGACAGACACCACAGUGAUAUGCCUGCAACAAAUGCACUUCAAGAGGUUAUCAAACAUAGGAUAUUCACCUGCGACUUAAGUGUUGGAGGAGGUUGACGUAGUGCAGGCUACAGUUGCGUUACUUCCCUCAAUAAACUUUUGCUACGAUUGACUGUCACCUCAGUGAUAUGACUGCAACAAGGAAUGUCAAAAUGUUAGACGUUAUCAAACAUAGGAUAUUCACCUGCGACUUAAGUGUUGGAGGAGGUUGACGUAGUGCAGGCUACAGUUGCGUUACUUCCCUCAAUAAACUUUUGCUACGAUUGACUGUCACCUCAGUGAUAUGACUGCAACAAGGAAUGUCAAAAUGUUAGACGUUAUCAAACAUAGGAUAUUCACCUGCGACUUAAGUGUUGGAGGAGGUUGACGUAGUGCAGGCUACAGUUGCGUUACUUCCCUCAAUAAACUUUUGCUACGAUUGACUGUCACCUCAGUGAUAUGACUGCAACAAGGAAUGUCAAAAUGUUAGACGUUAUCAAACAUAGGAUAUUCACCUGCGACUUAAGUGUUGGAGGAGGUUGACGUAGUGCAGGCUACAGUUGCGUUACUUCCCUCAAUAAACUUUUGCUACGAUUGACUGUCACCUCAGUGAUAUGACUGCAACAAGGAAUGUCAAAAUGUUAGACGUUAUCAAACAUAGGAUAUUCACCUGCGACUUAAGUGUUGGAGGAGGUUGACGUAGUGCAGGCUACAGUUGCGUUACUUCCCUCAAUAAACUUUUGCUACGAUUGACUGUCACCUCAGUGAUAUGACUGCAACAAGGAAUGUCAAAAUGUUAGACGUACAACAUACUUACUAUUAAAUAAUUAUACUACUAUUAAUGCUAUUACUUUAAUUCAAAUGGCUCU